UUCACCUUGUGCUAAUGGAAGUACAUGUACACCGACCGGAAGUACUUUUGUUUGUUCCUGUCAACCUGGAUACUUUGGAAACAAAUGUCAAGGGACACCAUGCCACAGUUCGCCUUGUUCAAAUAGGGGAGCAUGCAAUCCUUCUGGUAGCAGUUUUGUUUGUUCCUGUCCAACUGGAUACAGUGGAAAACAAUGUCAAAUCACACCAUGCCACUGUUCACCUUGUUCGAAUG
Mytilus trossulus (common blue mussel) is the source of this 233-nucleotide long non-coding RNA. RefSeq lists it as uncharacterized. The record is from RefSeq and is a predicted model, not a curated record. NCBI's taxonomy places the organism in Eukaryota, Metazoa, Mollusca, Bivalvia, Mytilida, Mytilidae. The transcript has 3 exons.